RNAcentral lists this non-coding RNA (103 nucleotides) under uncultured Goniomonas sp. Lineage: Eukaryota; Cryptophyceae; Goniomonadida; Goniomonadaceae. The record is from RNAcentral.
CCCUUCUCCUCGGAAUGCUGUAAAGCUGCGGGCAGAGCCAGCAGCGGCGAAGGAAAUUGUACAGGAAGCCAGCCCUGAAGCGAAACAAAAACAGUUGGCCAAA